This 400-nucleotide unclassified non-coding RNA is filed under the name soil metagenome. RNAcentral describes it as "partial contains 5.8S ribosomal RNA, internal transcribed spacer 2, and large subunit ribosomal RNA". The stretch from base 1 to 122 matches the Rfam family "5.8S ribosomal RNA", at positions 35 to 154 of the family's 154-position model. The record is from RNAcentral.
GAUGAAGAACGCAGCGAAAUGCGAUACUUGGUGUGAAUUGCAGAAUCCCGUGAACCAUCGAGUCUUUGAACGCAAGUUGCGCCUCAAGCCAUUAGGUUGAGGGCACGUCUGCCUGGGCGUCACAUAUCGUUGCCUGAUGCCAGUUUCCUCGUGAUGGGUGACUGUGCAGGGCGAAUGAUGGCUUCCCGUGAGCAUUGUUGCCUCAUGGUUGGUUGAAAAUUGAGUCCUUGGUAGGGAGCGCCGUGAUAGAUGGUGGUUGAGUGACGAACGAGACCCAAUCAUGUGAGACCCCUACCGAAUUUGGCCUUCAUGACCCGCAUGCGUCUUUGGAACGCUCAUGACGAGACCUCAGGUCAGGCGGGGCUACCCGCUGAGUUUAAGCAUAUCAAUAAGCGGAGGA